AGAGCGAGUUCACCUCUUAUCCUGGAAGAAGAAAAACAACAAUCUUCCCAUACACAUAUCGAUGGGAUUCUCCGUGCUUUGACGGAUGGAAAGCAUAUGAGAAGAACCCCUUUCACCCAACUCAGAAUCCUGAUGGGACCAUCCAGAUGGGUCUUGCCGAGAAUUAGCUUUCCUUCGAUCUGGAAGAGUGUAUGAAGAACAAUCCUAAGGCGUCCAUUUGCACUUCAGAUGGGGCUGGCAAGUUCAAGGACGUUGCCAACGCCAAUUUCCAAUGAUAUUUUCCUGGAGACGCUUUCCUUGUUCCUUGCUUGUAUUAUCCAGCAUAAUGUGGACGAGAUCGGGACUGCAUCCGGUCUUUUACAUUUUCCAGAUGGCGGGGAAGUCGAAAACCCUGGCCAAGUAUAUUUUGUUGUGGAGGUUCUUUUUGGAAGUGGACGAGUGUUUCUGUGCUCAAACUGAUUCCCAGCAGUUUUGAUGGGUCCGUUAAGAUCACUCCUUUUACGUUGAUGUUGGCUUCUAUGACCUUGACGUAAUGCUGAUUUUUAUUUGUGGUAGGGUUACUUGGAAGUUGUUGGAGCUGUCAUAUUUAACCGGAGUUAUCUGUGCGCCGGUGAGCCAUCUUAUGUCCUUAUAAAUCUGAGAGAAAAGAAUUUGAGAACGAGAUACGCUUACAUGAGAAUAAAAUCAUAGGACAAGUAUAUGCAUAAACAUGCUUACAAAAGGAGAGACGUGUACAUGAGCUUUAUUUUUGGUCUGGUUCCCCUCAAUGCUGCUAUAAUAAGCUCAUAAAGAUGCGGUAUCUCAAUUAUAUUUCUCUGCCUUAUGUUACUACUAAGUAUUGUUGGCAUCUAGAAUCACUUU
Molecule: long non-coding RNA, 861 nt
Organism: Eucalyptus grandis
Lineage: Eukaryota; Viridiplantae; Streptophyta; Magnoliopsida; Myrtales; Myrtaceae
Exons: 3
Source: RefSeq, a predicted model, not a curated record